UUCUGGAGGCUGGAAGUCCAAGAUCUAGGUGCCAGCAUGGUCUGGAUCCGGUGAGGGCGCUCUUCACGGUGGGCAGAUGGCUGCCUUCUCACUGUGUCCCCGUGUGAGAAGCGGGUAGAAGAGACGUGCUGCCUCUCUUAGGAGGGAGGAAUCUCCCAGUGUUUGUGCCAUGUUUUGAUCUGACUGAAAGCCAUAAACAUAGCCGAAGCCUGGGCCAUCCACAGAAGACCCAAUGUUCUCUUUUUCCAAGUGGGCAUUUUGUAUCUCUGAAGAGUUCUAGACUGAGCUACAUCAGUAGACCUCUGCAUUUAAAGGGAGCAAUUCUCGUCCGAGGAUCCUGAUUCUUCUACUGUAGUGCAAUUUCACUACUCUCUCCAAAUGUCUCCAAGCAAAUUCAAAGCAGCUGAAAAUAACUGCAUGCCUGAGAGGACCACGAAGCUUCAGGCCAGCCCUGUCCCGAAGUCUUGUGUGCUUCAUGUCGAGUGGUCUGCAGUGGACUGUGUCUGCUUGAAGCGAUGCUCCGGAGGGCUUAUUGUUGUGUGGGGUAAAGCAUGAGAUCACUGAAAAAUGAGAGAAAUCGAGCAUACGAAAUGUGAAGCAUAUCUGUUGACACCGUGCGCUCCCUUUGCUUGCACCGGAUGGUGCAUGGUUUCCAUGCGCAGUGCCUGAGGUGUGGGGCAGGCGAGGCCCAUGCAGCCUGGCUCCUUUCCAGAAGGUUGCUGUUCAUUACAGCUCGAGUGUGCUGGGUUCUGCAGAUAUUAUCUAUUUUAAAUUAACGCUCCGUAAAAGGAUUUAAAGUUUUCUGAAAAGAAACCAAUGAAUGAAGCUAAUAGUAAUAAUGCAAACACAAGCAAGCUGCCAAGUAAGCCAUUUUUCUAUUACGGAGCUCUUCAUCAGUCAUAUUAUUAAAGAAAAAACAACAAUACUAGUAAUAAUGAUCACCUAUUCAAGACCAAGAGUUUGAUCCUCCAAAAUUCAAACAAGGAAAAAUCUCUCCCAAUCUCUCCUUUCCUCCAUCCCUUUUCUUUACUUCUCAUCCCAUAUAUAAUAUUAUAUAAUGCAUACAUAAUAAAAGACAUUCACUAUUAUUA
Pan troglodytes (chimpanzee) is the source of this 1091-nucleotide long non-coding RNA. RefSeq lists it as uncharacterized. The record is from RefSeq and is a predicted model, not a curated record. Lineage: Eukaryota; Metazoa; Chordata; Mammalia; Primates; Hominidae. The transcript is spliced from 3 exons.